Molecule: long non-coding RNA, 1032 nt
Filed under: Salmo salar (Atlantic salmon)
Lineage: Eukaryota; Metazoa; Chordata; Actinopteri; Salmoniformes; Salmonidae
Description: lncRNA (ENSSSAG00000089436.1)
Source: RNAcentral
CUUGUAGAGUAGAAACCCCCUCUCAACCUUGCCAAAGCCUUCUGUUUUAGAGAUAGGUGCACCUCAAUAGUCUCCUCUUCAUCUGCACCGAUCUGAAAUCAUGGGUUAGGUGAAAACAUCAGUGCAGAUUGAGUAGGCAUAGAGAGUGGAGAGGAAACCACUUUAGACUAUUUGAAUAUACCCAUUGAGAAACUUCACACUUGCAUCUGGGACCCGGCAGCUGCAUCACAAAAAUCACAAGUUGAAGAAUUUUGCACAAUAACUGUGAGGAAUGAUGCCAACAUUGUAAAAUUUGUGCAAUUAGUCCUAGGUUAUGAGAAGAAAGUGCAAAAAGAAACCUCUGGGCAACUUGCCGCUAGCCUGCCAGACUCAUCAGCAGUGGCGUGAAUUCAUGAAUGCCAGAAGAAGCAUCCAUGAUCCAACCAUAAAUUCAUAGAUUAUGCCCCUGGAAUAAGAGGAUGUAAGUUCAAUGUGUAGCUAGAUGUAAAAGGCUAAUGUUAACGUUGCCCAUGAAAGGAAGUUAGGCUAGCGAGCAAGCAUUUUAGCCAGGUAGCCUGGGACAACAAAUAAAAGCGUGUACUGUAUGACAGAGUCAUAGACCAUUUCGUCAGCAUGAAAGAACAGAGGAUGGCAUUGGCGUUUCUCUACAAGUAGGGCAAAUGGAACUGAAACAUGCAUGAGAGCACCAGCUGUUCUGGAAGACCGCUCUCCGCAGCUGAUGCAAUCCAUCGUUUAUAGACCUUUUGGGCAUUAUAACAUUCUUACCAUCUACGGUCAUCAUUUUGAACAACCCAAAGCCAACCAUGUCGACCAAGGAGGAGACACCCGCCGACGGAGACAAACCGCAGACGUCCUCCUGGAAAGAUUCUAUCUACAACCCACGAACAGGAGAGUUUAUUGGCCGAACCGCUAAAAGCUGGGGAACAGGAGCAAUGACACUAGGCUUCAGUCAACAACCUGCCAUCCAGGACUUCUAUAACAGGCGGUGUCAGAGGAAGUCCCCAAAAAUGAUCAAAUACUCCAGCCAUCCAA